Molecule: ribosomal RNA, 253 nt
Filed under: uncultured bacterium
Lineage: Bacteria
Description: partial 16S ribosomal RNA
Rfam family: Bacterial small subunit ribosomal RNA
Source: RNAcentral
GAUAGAGGGGGCAAGCGUUGCUCGGAAUUACUGGGCGUAAAGGGCGCGUAGGCGGGAUGGCAAGUCGGUCGUGAAAUCCCUCGGCUCAACUGAGGAUCGUCGAUCGAUACUGCCGUUCUUGAGGAUUGCAGAGGAGACUGGAAUUCCCGGUGUAGCGGUGAAAUGUGUAGAGAUCGGGAGGAACACCGGUGGCGAAGGCGGGUCUCUGGGCAAUUCCUGACGCUGAGGCGCGAAAGCGUGGGGAGCAAACGGG